UACGGAGGAUUCAAGCGUUAUCCGGAUUUAUUGGGUUUAAAGGGUGCGUAGGCGGGUUGUUAAGUCAGUUGUGAAAGUUUGGGGCUCAACCUUAAAAUUGCAGUUGAUACUGGCGUCCUUGAGUGCGGUUGAGGUGUGCGGAAUUCGUGGUGUAGCGGUGAAAUGCUUAGAUAUCACUUGGAACCCCGAUAGCGAAGGCAGCUUCCCAGGCUCGAUCUGACGCUGAUGCGCGAAAGCGUGGGGAGCAAACAGG
This 253-nucleotide ribosomal RNA is filed under the name Phocaeicola plebeius DSM 17135. Its description in RNAcentral is "partial 16S ribosomal RNA". It matches the Rfam family "Bacterial small subunit ribosomal RNA", at positions 524 to 776 of the family's 1533-position model. The record is from RNAcentral. Lineage: Bacteria; Pseudomonadati; Bacteroidota; Bacteroidia; Bacteroidales; Bacteroidaceae.